GUGAAUAAAAUAGGAGUCGGAGAAGGAAUUGCGAAUAGAAGUGCAUCGCGAGACUGCUGAUGCAGCGGCUCCUGCAGUUGCGGUUCCGUGCUGCCGCCACAUAGGAAUGGCGGAUGAUUUAUGAACUAUCCUUUACAGGCGCCGCAUGGAAUCUAAGCUUCUGUAUCAUAUUAAUACCCUUCCACAGAGUGUUUUGAAAAAAUGUCUGACCAGAAAUUUAUACGUCGUCGGGUGCAAAACCAUGAAGAAAGGCAAAGCGGGGCGCAAGAACCCAACCCAAGUAGAACUUAUCGGGUUUCCAUACACCCUUUCCCAGAGGCGAUUCUCCCCUUACGAAUGCUGGCCCUGAAGAGCGGAUGUACACCCAGCAGAUGUCCGAACCAAAACAAUAAUUACGCAUUUCAUGCGCCACCGGAAACGCAUAAUCCAGGGUUCACGGAAUGCUCCGACAUGCACCCAGCAAUAGCGAAAGUCGAGAACGCGAGCACUGGUCGUACGUCUCACCGAGGUUUUGGCAAGCCGGAGUAGAUAGCAAUGCAGAUUAGGCGGUGUCGUACGCAACGAGUGCGUGCCUAACCAUACUGGAAUAGAGUCCGAACGCAACUGUCAA
Long non-coding RNA from Orussus abietinus, 610 nucleotides. RefSeq lists it as uncharacterized. The transcript has 3 exons. Lineage: Eukaryota; Metazoa; Arthropoda; Insecta; Hymenoptera; Orussidae. The record is from RefSeq and is a predicted model, not a curated record.